This 458-nucleotide ribosomal RNA is filed under the name uncultured bacterium. RNAcentral's name for it is "partial 16S ribosomal RNA". It matches the Rfam family "Bacterial small subunit ribosomal RNA", at positions 338 to 795 of the family's 1533-position model. The record is from RNAcentral.
CCUACGGGUGGCAGCAGUGGGGAAUAUUGCACAAUGGGGGAAACCCUGAUGCAGCGACGCCGCGUGAGUGAAGAAGUAAUUCGUUACGUAAAGCUCUAUCAGCAGGGAAGAAAUACUGACCUUACGAUAAGCAGACGGUACCUAAGUAAGAAGCCCCGGCUAACUACGUGCCAGAGGCCGCGGUAAUACCGAGGGGGCAAGCGUUAUCCGGAUUUACUGGGUGUAAAGGGAGCGUAGACGGUGCGCCAAGUCUGGAGUGAAAUGCCGCAGCUGAACCGCGGCACUGCUUUGGAAACUGGCGAACUAGAGUGCAGGAGGGGUAAGCGGAAUUCCUAGUGUAGCGGUGAAAUGCGUAGAUAUUAGGAGGAACACCAGUGGCGAAGGCGGCUUACUGGACCGUAACUGACGUUGAGGCUCGAAAGCGUGGGGAGCAAACAGGAUUAGAUACCCUGGUAGUC